This is a long non-coding RNA of Felis catus (domestic cat), 815 nucleotides long. RefSeq lists it as uncharacterized. The transcript is spliced from 3 exons. The record is from RefSeq and is a predicted model, not a curated record. NCBI's taxonomy places the organism in Eukaryota, Metazoa, Chordata, Mammalia, Carnivora, Felidae.
AGUAACCUCAUAGCAAUUUCCUGAUCCAAAGUAAACUCAAGCAUGAAAAAAUUGGUCAAGGAAAAGGGGAAUGUUCACUUGGGUGGGUAAGCUCUCAGAACGGGAAGUCAAGGGAGACAAGAGACGUGAGGGAGAGGCCCAGGGUGCCUCCUUCACACAGAGAGUUCUGGGGAUUCCUCAGAGACAAAUUCAUCUGACCAAGAAAUUUACCCUUGAGUCUUUGGCCUUUCCUUUUUCUUCUUUCUGACACCCUUUCUCUGGUUAACAUUUUCAGCGCGACUCAAGCCAAGUCAGCUAUUUAUAGAGCAAGAACAAUUUUACCACAGGGUAUGGUGUUUAAUUUGAAGAGACGUCAAAGAGUGAGGGGCAGAUGGCUGAGCAGGCAGUGCCUCUCAAUGACCUUGAUGGGGGCACCCAAGCCCACUGCCUCAUCCUGAGUUUUGCAGAUCCAGAAAUGUCAUCUGAUGAAUGAAAUCCUGAACUGACCAAGCUUUAAGAGGAAAAGGAUAAAUUGAUAAAGCAGGACAUCAUUUUUUCCCUACUUUUGAACUUGAACUGAAACAUUGGCCCUUUCUGCAUCUCCAGUCUCUGGUCUUCAAAAUGGGCUACACCGUGGGCCCUCCUGGGUCUCCAGCUUGCUGACUGCAGAUCUUGGGAUUUAUCAGCCUCCAUAACCAUGUGAGCGCAUGGCAAGAAGGUGACCAUCCACAAGCCAGGAGGAAGGCCCUCACCAAGAACCAAAUUCGCUGCCACCAUGAUCUUGGACUUUUCACCCUCUAGAACUAUGAGAAAUAAAUGUCUGUUAUUUAAGUUUA